This is a small nucleolar RNA of Trichechus manatus latirostris (Florida manatee), 82 nucleotides long. RefSeq annotates it as small nucleolar RNA SNORD115. The record is from RefSeq and is a predicted model, not a curated record. Lineage: Eukaryota; Metazoa; Chordata; Mammalia; Sirenia; Trichechidae. The transcript has a single exon.
GGGUCAAUGAUGAGACCUAAACUUUUCUUGAAUACAGAUUAUGACAUAAAAAAUCAUGCUCAGUAGGAUUAUGCUUAGGCCC